This 731-nucleotide ribosomal RNA is filed under the name Miconia conorufescens. Its description in RNAcentral is "eukaryotic LSU rRNA". The stretch from base 260 to 415 matches the Rfam family "5.8S ribosomal RNA". The record is from RNAcentral. Lineage: Eukaryota; Viridiplantae; Streptophyta; Magnoliopsida; Myrtales; Melastomataceae.
GGAUCAUUGUCGAAAUCGAACGGAAGAACGACCCGCGAAUCGUCAUUGCGUAGUAGACAGAGCCCGUGAGCACCUAACGCUCACGGGUCUCGCGUCGCGUCGGCGCGGGUGUACUCGAGACCCGCGUCGUACCGGCGGACAAACAACGUCAGCACGGAUCGUGCCAAGGAGCAGCAUGGAGAGAAUCGUCGUCCCACGCCUUUGAUAGUCCUCGACGCGGGACGGGGGACGUACGCAAUCUCUACUCAGAAGUCUAAACGACUCUCGGCAACGGAUAUCUCGGCUCUUGCAUCGAUGAAGAACGUAGCGAAAUGCGAUACUUGGUGUGAAUUGCAGAAUCCCGUGAACCAUCAAUUCUUUGAACGCAAGUUGCGCCCGAAGCCAUUCGGCCGAGGGCACGCCUGCCUGGGCGUCGUGAAUCCCCUUGCCCCUAGGCACCCGCAUGAGCAUUGGCGGGGACAUAUGCUCGGGCGCAGAAUAUGGUCUCCCGUGGGAUCGGCAUGCACGGCAUGUCGAGGUGCGGUUGGCCGAAAAUCGAGCAUGGCGGUGACGGGCACCACGGCGUUCGGUGGAUCGAAUGAGAUUGGCUGCGUCGUGGGCUCGGCAUGCGGCGGGCUCCGGACUUUGAAUAUCCCCGAGUGCGAUCCCAGGUCAGGCGGGGCUACCCGCUGAGUUUAAGCAUAUCAAUAAGCGGAGGAAAAGAAACUAACGAGGAUUCCCUUAGUAGCGGC